UUUCUGGUGUUGGUCCCAGGAUAGUGAUAAUAUUUCAUUUCUUCAUUUUUAGAUAACAAUCAACAGAGACAGUGGAGAAGAUGUGAGCUCCCCUAAACACGGGAAGGAGGACCCAGACAACAUGCCCCAUGUGGGUGGCAAUACUUGGGCUGGUGGAACAGGAGGAAGAGACACUGCAGGUCUGGGAGGAAAAGGAGGUCCUUAUCGGCUGGAUGCAGGUCACACAGUGUACCAGAUCUCUGAUGCUGAGAAGGAUGCCGUUCCCGAAGAGGUCAAGAGAGCUGCAAGAGAGAUGGGCCAGAGAGCAUUUCAACAGAGGUGAGUGUUCACGUCACAUCUACAACAGUGCUGUUGACUAACAGACACAUAC
Ictidomys tridecemlineatus (thirteen-lined ground squirrel) is the source of this 370-nucleotide long non-coding RNA. Lineage: Eukaryota; Metazoa; Chordata; Mammalia; Rodentia; Sciuridae. The record is from Ensembl.